CAAUCUGUGUGUAUUCAAAACGCGUCCUAACGAUUCCAUUCCAAGCAUUAUUGUUAACGUUGCUUUUUAUAAAAAAUAAUAAUAUGUUGUUUUUUGUCCAAAUAAACUUAUUACAUUUGUAUCCUCUAUUAAAAAUUAUUAACAUACAACAUGUUUUUAUGCCAUAAUAUCUUUUCUUCUUCUCAGUCGUACACUCCUGGCGGAGUGGUCGUGGUUACGUAUAUCUUAAUGCUUGGUUGCGGCUUUUGAGAGACUUCUCCAAUUCCUUCUAUUUGUGGCGAAAGAAAGAAAAAAAAAACGCAAGCAUAGCAACUUUCACUCGAUGCCGAUGACACAACGGAUCCUUUUGCGGAGUCAUCAAAAUUGAAUUUUAGAAAAUCUUCAUUUUUUAGAGAUUUUUUUGUUUUGUUUUGAUUUUUUUCACUCUGGCAAUUCGAGACGCUACAUAAUUAAAGAGGCACAAAAUAUAAGUCCUCUCACCUAAACAAUAAAAAAAGAACGUUAUAUCUACAAAUUUUUAUUAAAUAAAUAUUUGACAUCUACUUUAA
Bombyx mori (domestic silkworm) is the source of this 548-nucleotide long non-coding RNA. RefSeq lists it as uncharacterized. Lineage: Eukaryota; Metazoa; Arthropoda; Insecta; Lepidoptera; Bombycidae. The transcript has 2 exons. The record is from RefSeq and is a predicted model, not a curated record.